RNAcentral lists this non-coding RNA (29 nucleotides) under Mus musculus (house mouse). The record is from RNAcentral. Lineage: Eukaryota; Metazoa; Chordata; Mammalia; Rodentia; Muridae.
UGGAAGCUGGUCCCUCAGGAGCCCGGCCA